CUGUCACAUCUCAGAGAAACUUGAGUGUUCUGCAUGCAAGAAAAGAGCUCCAGUCCUCCAGAUGAAGAGAUGGAGCCUUCUGUGCACAGGAGGAACAGAGGAGUUGGAGGAGUUCCAAGCACCAUUCUUUGCUUCCAGCAGAGCCUUGUACCAUGGGUUAAUGAAGUAAUGAGAAAAACACGGUGGGAAUUUCUUUCUUACAACUCCAAAGGGCAAAAAUCAUCUCAAAUGCAUCAGGACUAAGAGUUGGAGUGACUACGAAGCACCAAUGUUGCCACCUUUCCAAGAAGAAAGAGAAGCACCAAAGUGGCUGCCCCACCCUGCUGGACCAACCUCUUGGGCCCUUUGUCCUUCCCACAGCCAUUGCCAGAUGUUUCCGAGGACAAUUCGGAUCGCUGUAUAAAUCAUGAAGCCUCUCUCUAAUUCUUUUCAACUUGGUGAACCUACUCGGUGCUGUUGUUGGUUACACAAAGCUCUGCUCAUUUCACGUCUCCUGGGGCUUUGCAACAGGAUCCAAGACACUGUGAGGAGUCAUCUGUCUUCUUUCUCCAACACAAAGAGAAGCUGAUCU
Long non-coding RNA from Pogoniulus pusillus (Red-fronted tinkerbird), 571 nucleotides. RefSeq lists it as uncharacterized. NCBI's taxonomy places the organism in Eukaryota, Metazoa, Chordata, Aves, Piciformes, Lybiidae. The transcript is spliced from 4 exons. The record is from RefSeq and is a predicted model, not a curated record.